CAUGCGCACGCGCACACUCGGGUUCCACAAGGUUCCACGAGCCUUGAAGGCCCCACUCUCAGACAGUCCGGCGGCGCCAGAGGUUCCGGAAGGUUCGGGGCUCACCUCACAGGCGGGCAGCGUGGAAGUUAAUUGGCAGAAGGGCCAGGCACCACGGAACCGAUGAUUCUCUUUGCUCUGCUCCUGGUCACGGGCCUGCCGCGGGUGGAGACAAACGUCACCGUGUCUGGAAAACAAGCUGCAACCCUGAAGUGUCACGUCUGCGAGAUAGAGAAUAGUUUCGGUUGCACAAAUCCAUCCAACUGUCCUAGGGAUUUUCACUUUUGUACUUCCGUUGCCGUGAGUGAGUAUCUCCGUGCAUCCCGGGUUCACGGGAAAGUCGGUCAAUCCUUUCAGCAGUUGGGGUCUGUCUGGGUUUUCUCAACAGAGGGUAACUAAUGUAAUCACGUUCGUUCAAGAGAAACGGAGGAAAGUCCUGAGACGUCAGAACACAGGCAGGUGACAGGCCAGCUUGCGUGAGAGCCGUGCCGACGGAGGGUGGGGCGCCAGGACUGGACGCGAUGGAAUAUUGGGGUGCGGGAAGAAAAGCAUAGGGUUAUCUGUAUUCAUUUUAAAUGAACGACGAAAGCCUUCAUUUCAACCGCCCCACCAGAAGUGCUGUUACAAGAGGUGUUCGUAAUGAGGGGCGGGGCUUACGCUUUGUUCUGGAAGGAGUGUUGUGUGCUUUAGGACGGGUGGAGACCACCUCUCUGUCUCGCGUAUGUCACCCGGGAGCUCCAGGCCGCAUGAAGCCCCCGAAGGGGAGUGCGGAGGCCCAGCAGCGCCCGGCGCUCGGAGGCAGAGUGUCAGCCCCUACGGGCGGGUCCGCGUUCCCGGAAACACGCGGGGUGCCGAGGGGGUGCUUGGGACUCGCGCCAGCCCCGCGUGAACGUCAUCACCUCGUAGGGAAAAGCGAUUGUCACCGUGAACCACAGAUGAGGCGAAGCCAGCAGCGUGACCCCG
Molecule: long non-coding RNA, 1002 nt
Organism: Herpailurus yagouaroundi (jaguarundi)
Lineage: Eukaryota; Metazoa; Chordata; Mammalia; Carnivora; Felidae
Exons: 3
Source: RefSeq, a predicted model, not a curated record